RNAcentral lists this ribosomal RNA (272 nucleotides) under uncultured bacterium. RNAcentral describes it as "partial 16S ribosomal RNA". It matches the Rfam family "Bacterial small subunit ribosomal RNA", at positions 156 to 435 of the family's 1533-position model. The record is from RNAcentral.
ACGUGGAUUAAUGCCUGAUAGUCUCUACGGAGUAAAUGGUGCCUUCGGGUAUCGCUAGAGGAUGGGCUCGCGGCCUAUCAGCUUGUUGGUGAGGUAAAGGCUCACCAAGGCGACGACGGGUAGCUGGUCUGAGAGGACGAUCAGCAACACUGGAACUGAGACACGGUCCAGACACCUACGGGUGGCAGCAGUCGAGAAUCAUUCACAAUGGAGGCAACUCUGAUGGUGCAACGCCGCGUGGAGGAUGACGGUCCUAGGAUUGUAAACUCCUG